ACAGAGAAGCCCUGUCAGCAGAAAAACUGGAAUGGUACACAGAAGAUUAGCAUGGUCUCUGGGCAAGGAUGGCUGCAGACUCAAGAAGCAGCCCAUCUUUAA
Chionomys nivalis (European snow vole) is the source of this 102-nucleotide small nuclear RNA. The record is from RefSeq and is a predicted model, not a curated record. Lineage: Eukaryota; Metazoa; Chordata; Mammalia; Rodentia; Cricetidae.